UGUAUGAAUGGCAUAACGAGGGUUUAACUGUCUCCCUCCCCUAGUCAAUGAAAUUGAUCUGCCCGUGCAGAAGCGGACAUAAAUACAUAAGACGAGAAGACCCUAUGGAGCUUUAGACAAAAGAUCAAACAUGUAAAGAAACCAAAUCAACCAAAAGGAACACAAAGGCCACAAAACCCAACGUAAAAUGAUCCAAAUGUCUUCGGUUGGGGCGACCAUGGGGGAAAGAAAAACCCCCACGAGGAACUAGGGGCAAUCCAUUAAGCCAAGAGAUACACCUCUAAGCAACAGAAAAUCUGACCAAAAAUGACCCAGGACACUAAUCCUGAUCAACGAACCAAGUUACCCUAGGGAUAACAGCGCAAUCCUUUCCCAGAGUCCAUAUCGACGAAAGGGUUUACGACCUCGAUGUUGGAUCAGGACAUCCUAAUGGUGCAGCCGCUAUUAAGGGUUCGUUUGUUCAACGAUUAACAGUCCUACGUGAUCUA
This 488-nucleotide ribosomal RNA is filed under the name Anguilla obscura (Pacific shortfinned eel). Its description in RNAcentral is "partial 16S ribosomal RNA". It matches the Rfam family "Bacterial large subunit ribosomal RNA", at positions 1989 to 2607 of the family's 2925-position model. Lineage: Eukaryota; Metazoa; Chordata; Actinopteri; Anguilliformes; Anguillidae. The record is from RNAcentral.